GAGCGCUGGAGACGGGUGGUGCAUGGUUGUCGUCAGCUCGUGUCGUGAGAUGUUGGGUUAAGUCCCGCAACGAGCGCAACCCUUAUUCUUAGUAGCCAGCAGGUAAAGCUGGGCACUCUAGGGAGACUGCCAGGGAUAACCUGGAGGAAGGUGGGGAUGACGUCAAAUCAUCAUGCCCCUUAUGAUUUGGGCUACACACGUGCUACAAUGGCGUAAACAAAGGGAGGCGAAGCCGCGAGGUAGAGCGAACCCCAAAAAUAACGUCUCAGUUCGGAUUGCAGGCUGCAACUCGCCUGCAUGAAGCCGGAAUCGCUAGUAAUCGCAGAUCAGCAUGCUGCGGUGAAUACGUUCCCGGGUCUUGUACACACCGCCCGUCACACCAUGGGAGUCGAUAACGCCCGAAGUCAGUGACCCAACCGUAAGGAGGGAGCUGCCGAAGGCGGGAUUGAUAACUGGGGUGAAGUCGUAACAAGGUAGCCGUAUCGGAAGGUGCGGUUGGAUCACCUC
This 507-nucleotide ribosomal RNA is filed under the name uncultured bacterium. RNAcentral describes it as "bacterial SSU rRNA". It matches the Rfam family "Bacterial small subunit ribosomal RNA", at positions 1023 to 1529 of the family's 1533-position model. The record is from RNAcentral.